GAUGAACGCUAGGCGGGAGGCUUAACACAUGCAAGUCGAGGGGCAGCACUGAUAGCAAUAUUAGGUGGCGACCGGCGGGACGGGUGAGUAACGCGUAUGCAACCUACCCUUUACAGGGGGAUAGCCCGGAGAAAUUCGGAUUAAUACCCCAUAGAUCAGUGAUUCUGCAUGGGAUUACUGGUAAAGCUUCGGCGGUAAAGGAUGGGCAUGCGUCCCAUUAGCUAGUUGGUAGGGUAACGGCCUACCAAGGCAACGAUGGGUACGGGGGUCUUAAGGGGAUGGACCCGCACACUGGCACUGAGACACGGGCCAGACUCCUACGGGAGGCAGCAGUGAGGAAUAUUGGUCAAUGGGGGGGAACCCUGAACCAGCCAUCCCGCGUGCAGGAAGACAGUUCUAUGGAUUGUAAACUGCUUUUCUUGGGGAAGAAUAAUGACGACGUGUCGUCAGAUGACGGUACCCGAGGAAUAAGCAUCGGCUAACUCCGUG
This 489-nucleotide ribosomal RNA is filed under the name uncultured bacterium. Its description in RNAcentral is "bacterial SSU rRNA". It matches the Rfam family "Bacterial small subunit ribosomal RNA", at positions 28 to 507 of the family's 1533-position model. The record is from RNAcentral.